RNAcentral lists this ribosomal RNA (253 nucleotides) under uncultured bacterium. Its description in RNAcentral is "partial 16S ribosomal RNA". It matches the Rfam family "Bacterial small subunit ribosomal RNA", at positions 524 to 776 of the family's 1533-position model. The record is from RNAcentral.
UACGGAGGGGACUAGCGUUGUUCGGAAUUACUGGGCGUAAAGCGCACGCAAGCGGUUGGACAAGUCUGGCGUGAAAUCCUCUGGCUUAACCAGGGGCGGUCGCUGGAGACUGUUCGGCUUGAGGCGAUGAGAGGGGUGCAGAAUUCCCGGUGUAGUGGUGGAAUGCGUAGAGAUCGGGAGGAAUACCAGUGGCGAAAGCGGCACCCUGGCGUCGUACUGACGCACAUGUGCGAAAGCGUGGGGAGCGAACGGG